RNAcentral lists this ribosomal RNA (253 nucleotides) under uncultured bacterium. RNAcentral describes it as "partial 16S ribosomal RNA". It matches the Rfam family "Bacterial small subunit ribosomal RNA", at positions 524 to 776 of the family's 1533-position model. The record is from RNAcentral.
UACGGAGGGGGCGAGCGUUUUUCGGAAUUAUUGGGCGUAAAGGGCGCGUAGGCGGCUGUACAAGUCAAAGGUGAAAUCCCUCGGCUCAACUGAGGAACUGCCUUUGAAACUGUACGGCUUGAGGCCGGGAGGGGGUAGCGGAAUUCCCAGUGUAGCGGUGAAAUGCGUAGAUACUGGGAGGAACACCAGUGGCGAAGGCGGCUACCUGGACCGGUUCUGACGCUGAGGCGCGAAAGCGUGGGUAGCAAACAGG